Vigna unguiculata (cowpea) is the source of this 572-nucleotide long non-coding RNA. The record is from RefSeq and is a predicted model, not a curated record. NCBI's taxonomy places the organism in Eukaryota, Viridiplantae, Streptophyta, Magnoliopsida, Fabales, Fabaceae.
UUUUCUACUAAACUUGGGUACUUCUUCUUUGAUGGUGUAGGGUUUUAUCAUGAGUUUGAUUCCCUUCAAAACUACUAUGAUGCCUUAAUCGAUGCCAAGAAGAUCAUCAACAAUCAAGAUCGUCAACUACUAUCAAGUUGGACUUUGUUAAGAAAGGUGGAAUACUAGCUAUAACUUUUCCCCAAAAGAUUUGAAUUUUCUGGAAAUUAGAGUUUGUGGAGGAAGCUUUAAAGUGGUUACAUAGUGUUGCACAUGGUAUUGUUGUUGUUGGUUGUGUUUUUCCCUCGGAACCAAUAAAUUUGCCAGGGGUUAUGAUGGUGCAACAUCAAAUGCAUGGUCAUGUGGUGUUUAGAAACUACUAAAAUCCCAUGGAAGAAGCAGCUGAAUGUUGGCAAUUCUACAUCAUCUAUUGACAAGUCUCAGAGGAAAGGAUGAUAUUAUACUUCAAUUCCACGUGUUGUUUAAUGCAAGGAUUAUGGUGCAGAUUGCGGUGUGAGGAAAGGAUGAUGGUGUUGUGCAUCUUCAUGUGGCAGUCAUACAACCUCUAUCGCAGCUGGAAAAAAUGGAAUUUC